GACGAACGCUGGCGGCGUGCUUAACACAUGCAAGUCGAACGGAAAGGCCCUGCUUUUGUGGGGUGCUCGAGUGGCGAACGGGUGAGUAACACGUGAGUAACCUGCCCUUGACUUUGGGAUAACUUCAGGAAACUGGGGCUAAUACCGGAUAGGAGCUCCUGCUGCAUGGUGGGGGUUGGAAAGUUUCGGCGGUUGGGGAUGGACUCGCGGCUUAUCAGCUUGUUGGUGGGGUAGUGGCUUACCAAGGCGUUGACGGGUAGCCGGCCUGAGAGGGUGACCGGACAGGUUGGGACUGAGAUACGGCCCAGACUCCUACGGGAGGCAGCAGUGGAGAAUAUUGCACAAUGGGCGGAAGCCUGAUGCAGCAACGCCGCGUGCGGGAUGACGGCCUUCGGGUUGUAAACCGCUUUCGCCUGUGACGAAGCGUGAGUGACGGUAAUGGGUAAAGAAGCACCGGCUAACUACGUG
Molecule: ribosomal RNA, 468 nt
Filed under: uncultured bacterium
Lineage: Bacteria
Description: partial 16S ribosomal RNA
Rfam family: Bacterial small subunit ribosomal RNA
Source: RNAcentral